Molecule: unclassified non-coding RNA, 230 nt
Filed under: Hevea brasiliensis (rubber tree)
Lineage: Eukaryota; Viridiplantae; Streptophyta; Magnoliopsida; Malpighiales; Euphorbiaceae
Source: RNAcentral
CCGAAGGCCGUGUGCAGAUGGCCAACCGCGCCGCGUUCCCGCCCGGCGAUGCGCGCGAGGACUGGGCGAUCAUCCGCGCGCUGUCGGACGUUCUCGGCAAGAAGCUGCCGUUCGACUCGCUCGGGCAACUGCGCCAGGCGAUCUUCAAGGCCGCGCCGCAUCUGAUGCGGAUCGCCCAGAUCGAAGGCAACGAUGCGGCGGGCGUGAAAGCGCUUGCGGCGCGCGGCGGC